RNAcentral lists this small RNA (290 nucleotides) under Roseospira visakhapatnamensis. RNAcentral describes it as "5' ureB small RNA". It matches the Rfam family "5' ureB small RNA". Lineage: Bacteria; Pseudomonadati; Pseudomonadota; Alphaproteobacteria; Rhodospirillales; Rhodospirillaceae. The record is from Rfam by way of RNAcentral.
CCUCGUUGAUCUGCUGCGGACAGAUCCAGUGGAUGUGGGCAUCAAUGCCGCCGGCGGUGAGAAUCCGCCCCUCGCCGGCGAUGGCCUCCGUGCCCGGGCCAAUGAUGAUGUCGACGCCCGGCUGAACGUCGGGGUUGCCGGCCUUGCCGAUGGCGGCGAUCCGACCAUCCUUCAGCCCGACGUCCGCCUUGAGAAUACCGGCAUGGUCGACGAUCAGGGCAUUGGUGAUGACGGUGUCGACGGCCCCGGCGGCACGCGCGGUCUGGGACUGCCCCAUGCCGUCGCGGAUG